GGUUAGGCUUUGGUUAAAUAGUUUCUCCUGAGGGCAGGCCUCAUUUAGAACACAAUAUUCUGGAAUGUAUCAAAAUGGUUCUCUCUCCCUGCCCGGCCUGAAUCACAAGGGAAUUUUUAUUCAGUAAUUACUGUGAGCAUCCCCUACAACUCUGCACUGAGACAAUAAAAGUGUGGGGGCUUCCUGGGGAUCGGUUGCCUUGCAGUUUUUACCUCACAUGCUCCUCCAUGCUGAGCUUUCAGCAACUCACCGGUUGCAGUUUCAGUUUCCUCCCCCGACACUGGCUUCUGUGAAGGUUUCUCCUGUGGUUUGGGAGUACUGA
Molecule: long non-coding RNA, 322 nt
Filed under: Mustela putorius furo (domestic ferret)
Lineage: Eukaryota; Metazoa; Chordata; Mammalia; Carnivora; Mustelidae
Description: lncRNA (ENSMPUG00000029030.1)
Source: RNAcentral